This 386-nucleotide ribosomal RNA is filed under the name uncultured bacterium. RNAcentral describes it as "bacterial SSU rRNA". It matches the Rfam family "Bacterial small subunit ribosomal RNA", at positions 29 to 416 of the family's 1533-position model. The record is from RNAcentral.
AUUGAACGCUGGCGGAAUGCUUUACACAUGCAAGUCGAGCGGCAGCGCGGGGGCAACCCUGGCGGCGAGCGGCGAACGGGUGAGUAACAUAUCGGAACGUACCCCGUCGUGGGGGAUAACACAGCGAAAGCUGUGCUAAUACCGCAUACGACCUGAGGGUGAAAGCGGGGGACCGUAAGGCCUCGCGCGAUGGGAGCGGCCGAUAUCGGAUUAGCUUGUUGGUGAGGUAAAGGCUCACCAAGGCGACGAUCCGUAGCUGGUCUGAGAGGACGACCAGCCACACUGGAACUGAGACACGGUCCAGACUCCUACGGGAGGCAGCAGUGGGGAAUUUUGGACAAUGGGGGCAACCCUGAUCCAGCCAUUCCGCGUGAGUGAAGAAGGCC